CAGCAGCCGCGGUAAAACGAAGGGGGCUAGCGUUGCUCGGAAUUACUGGGCGUAAAGGGCGCGUAGGCGGACAGUUUAGUCGGGGGUGAAAGCCCGGGGCUCAACCUCGGAAUUGCCUUCGAUACUGGCUGUCUUGAGUGUGAGAGAGGUGUGUGGAACUCCGAGUGUAGAGGUGAAAUUCGUAGAUAUUCGGAAGAACACCAGUGGCGAAGGCGACACACUGGCUCACUACUGACGCUGAGGCGCGAAAGCGUGGGGAGCAAACAGGAUUAGAUACCCCCGUAGUCCCUGUCUCUUAUAC
This 301-nucleotide ribosomal RNA is filed under the name uncultured bacterium. RNAcentral describes it as "partial 16S ribosomal RNA". It matches the Rfam family "Bacterial small subunit ribosomal RNA", at positions 509 to 807 of the family's 1533-position model. The record is from RNAcentral.